RNAcentral lists this long non-coding RNA (1283 nucleotides) under Homo sapiens (human). Its description in RNAcentral is "HSALNT0389147". Lineage: Eukaryota; Metazoa; Chordata; Mammalia; Primates; Hominidae. The record is from RNAcentral.
AGCCCCUCCCAGACGCCCCGGGGAAACGGCAUCCCAGAGCUCCGCUCCCUGGAGGCCCCUCCAGAGAGGGACCCGGGGCCCCGCCCCGCAGCUGGAGAAGGGGUGAAUGCCUUUCCUACCUAACGCCUGGUCCGCGGCCCUGCUUGUUGCGUCUCCAAGACCACGUGUCUGCUGCAUUUUAAAAAUAGUUGUGAACAUCUGACUUUCUCCUUUUGCUGGAGUGCAGUGGCACAAUCUCUGCUCACUGCAACCUCGGCUUCUCAGGUUCAAGCGAGUCUCCUGGCUCAGCCUUCCCAGUAGCUGGGAUUACAGGCGCGUGCCACCAUGCCCGGACUUUGGAGUUUGCUGAAAUGUAACCUCAGAAUAAGUGGGGUAUGACUGCCCUCUCCUUUGAGGGAAAAGAAAAAGUAUUUUCAGGCCAGGCACGGUGGCUCAUGCUUAUAAUCCCAGCACUUUGGGAGGCUGAGGUGGCAAAAGAGAAGAUGGAAGCCAUCUACUCCAGGCCCUUGAGGAAGCUGAGCGGCUCCCUGAGUAGGGUUGAGGUGGAUCCAGAAGGCAACAUCCUCUGGAAGGAAGGAGAGUCAGGAUGGUGGGGGCCUCACUAUGGUUUUGAUUUGCGUUUCCCUAAAGAUUAGUGAUGUUGAACAUCUUCCCAAGUGCUUAUUGGCCGCUUGUUUAUUUUCUUUGGAGAAAUGCCUAUUCAAGUCCUUUGCCCAUUUUUGAAUCAGGAUUGAUUUUCUAUGGUCUAGCUGUAGUUCUUUAUACACUGUGGAUAUUGAUUCCUUAUCAGAGCUAUGAUUUGAAAAUAUUUUCUCCCAUUCUAUAGGUUGCUUUUUUCACUCUGUUGAUUAUACUCUUUGACACACCCAUGGAGAAGAUUUUAAAGGGCAGGUAGAAGUCAGACAGUUUGAGCAGCAGCGUAGUGAAGAGAAGGCCUUUCAAUCGAAGGAAAUAGUCUGUGCAAACACACAGAGGAGAGAACCGCAACAUGCAGGUAGUUGGGUCUUGCUAGUACACUGGUGAGGGGUAGGAGGUGGGGACAGGUGAGACUGGAGGAACCACAUGACAGAGGACGGUUCUAGGUCCGCCAAGUAGCAGGACUUCGUUCUAAGGUGGCACUACUCAAAAGAGUGGUCUGAGGACCCUGGCCCAGCACCCCCUACUAGGAGUUUGUUAAAAAUGCAAAUUCCGGCUGGGAUCCUGGCUGAUGCCUGUAAUCCCAGCACGUUGCCGAGCUGAGGCGGGAGGAUUGCUUGAGUCUAGGAGUUUGAGACCAGCCUGGG